CACUGCCUGGGGUCAUGGAGGCUCACACGCAUGGAGCCAAUCACAGUCAUCUGGAGGAUUUCCCUUUUACUUGCUAUUAAUGUAUGCCAGCCUCUUGCCUCAUAUAAGGUAAUAGAAAAGUUUUUGCUCCCCAAGUGAUGCAUCCUUCAAAAGAGAGGUUUUCUUGGGAAACUCCCUCAGUAGGGACAGUAGACAGUAGGGUCCAUUUGAAGUGCACAGCUGCCAUGGUCUACUCUUUCACAUACUUCCACUAAUGUCACAUUUGUCCAAGCAGCAGCACCCUUCUGCCUAGGCUUUGUGUCGAAGACAGACCUUUAUAAAUUCCCUUCUCUACCAUGGAACAGUCUAAGGUAUGACAAAUGCUUUCUUGUGGACCAGUGCAGGCAGUGACAAGUCAAGAUGAUGGAAUAAUGUGCUGCAACUGUACCCAUGUGGUGCUUCAUGUUACUGCUGGUUAAGGAGCCUUGCUGUUCUGUGGAUUGUUAAUUCAACAUUAUGCAUGCCUAGUGCCGGGAAAGUGAAGACCCUACACAUGGUUUGUUUGUUCUGUGGUUCGGUGAAAUAUAGCUCACGAAUUUACUUUGGUUGUGCCACUGCAGCUUAUAAUAAGUAUUUUACUGUUAAUUUUUCUAGAUUACUACUUUUGUGUUACCGCUUUUUGACUGACAAAGCUCAGAGGCCUAUCACAGCUUUUAAUAUCCUACAAGUACAAAAAAUGGAAUCAGCAGAGAGAAAAAGUGCCCUACAAUGUGUGAAGAAGGAAGAAUGAGAAAUCAAACAGAUAUAGUAUGUAUUCAGCCUGGGGUUACUGUGCCCAUUCUCUCAACAUUCUCAAGGAUGAGAAUACAUUUUAUCUGCACAGAAAAUGAGUGUGAAUGUGAUCGAGUCCUCAGGCCCAAGGUGCAGUGCUGCAUCUCUGGUCAAUUGGGAGUCUGAGAUGAAGCACUGUAGCACGGGAAGAGGGACACUGCUACUGUAAACACACAUCACCAUUCGUAUUAACUUUUUAUUAGCCAAAUUUAAUAAUAAAAUGUAAAUUAAAUAUCUUUAAUGUAACUACUGUAACUUUUUAAUUUUUAACACAUUAAAGAAGAUCAGUGCCCAGAAUAGAUAUGCAUUUGUGGCUCAAUAAGGAUCUGAGCUACUAAUCAGAAGGUUGAGAGUUCAAAUCCCAGCACCACCAGCUGCUAUUGUUGAGCCCUUUAAAAAGCCCAUAACUUUAAUCUGUUUGGUUCAGUAAUUCAGCUUGGAUAAAAGCUUCUGUCAAAUGAAUAAAUGUACAAUGUUUUAUAGAUAGUAUUUACCUCUUGGUGAUUUCCUUUUGUCUAAUACACACUUUCUUCCCUGUCCCCGGGGUCCAGUUUUCCCAGGAAUCCCUUGGGAAAUUACAAAGGGGAUUCCUGGAAAUACUGUUCUUGGGGGUGGGGUUAGACAUCAUGAAUGUCAUUUAAACUGUAUCAUAUAACAUUGUAAUUACUUGUUAAGUUUGUGGUUAACAUGGGAUAAACAAACAAUGUACUGUACAUGCAACUGUAACUGUAAGUCUUCUCAGUAUUUUGUUUUAAGUAUCUUGUAAUACAAAUAUUAACCGAAUGUAACACUCUUAAUAAAAUUGUGCUUAAUUCAAACCAUA
Long non-coding RNA from Pangasianodon hypophthalmus (striped catfish), 1633 nucleotides. RefSeq lists it as uncharacterized. Lineage: Eukaryota; Metazoa; Chordata; Actinopteri; Siluriformes; Pangasiidae. The transcript has 3 exons. The record is from RefSeq and is a predicted model, not a curated record.